CCUACGGGACGCACCAGUAGGGAAUCUUCCGCAAUGGACGAAAGUCUGACGGAGCAACGCCGCGUGAGUGAUGAAGGCUUUCGGGUCGUAAAACUCUGUUGUUAGGGAAGAACAAGUGCUAGUUGAAUAAGCUGGCACCUUGACGGUACCUAACCAGAAAGCCACGGCUAACUACGUGCCAGCAGCCGCGGUAAUACGUAGGUGGCAAGCGUUAUCCGGAAUUAUUGGGCGUAAGCGCGCGCGGGUGGUUUCUUAAGUCUGAUGUGAAAGCCCACGGCUCAACCGUGGAGGGUCAUUGGAAACUGGGAGACUUGAGUGCAAAAGAGGAAAGUGGAAUUCCAUGUGUAGCGGUGGAAUGCGUAGAGAUAUGGAGGAACACCAGUGGCGAAGGCGACUUUCUGGUCUGUAACUGACACUGAGGCGCGAAAGCGUGGGGAGCAAACAGGAUUAGAUACCCCAGUAGUC
This 465-nucleotide ribosomal RNA is filed under the name uncultured bacterium. RNAcentral's name for it is "bacterial SSU rRNA". It matches the Rfam family "Bacterial small subunit ribosomal RNA", at positions 338 to 795 of the family's 1533-position model. The record is from RNAcentral.